Molecule: ribosomal RNA, 254 nt
Filed under: uncultured bacterium
Lineage: Bacteria
Description: partial 16S ribosomal RNA
Rfam family: Bacterial small subunit ribosomal RNA
Source: RNAcentral
UACGUAGGUGGCAAGCGUUGUCCGGAUUUAUUGGGCGUAAAGAGCUCGUAGGCGGCUCGGUAAGUCGGAUGUGAAACCUCCAGGCUCAACCUGGAGACGCCAUCUGAUACUGCCGUGGCUUGAGUCCGGUAGAGGAGCAGGGAAUUCCUGGUGUAGCGGUGAAAUGCGCAGAUAUCAGGAGGAACACCAGCGGCGAAGGCGCUGCUCUGGGCCGGUACUGACGCUGAGGAGUGAAAGCGUGGGGAGCGAACAGG